Molecule: ribosomal RNA, 492 nt
Filed under: uncultured bacterium
Lineage: Bacteria
Description: partial 16S ribosomal RNA
Rfam family: Bacterial small subunit ribosomal RNA
Source: RNAcentral
AGUGAACGCUGGCGGUAGGCCUAACACAUGCAAGUCGAACGGCAGCACAGUAAGAGCUUGCUCUUACGGGUGGCGAGUGGCGGACGGGUGAGGAAUACAUCGGCAUCUACUUUUUCGUGGGGGACAACGUAGGGAAACUUACGCUAAUACCGCAUACGACCUACGGGUGAAAGCAGGGGAUCUCCGGACCUUGCGCGAUUGAAUGAGCCGAUGUCGGAUUAGCUAGUUGGCGGGGUAAAGGCCCACCAAGGCGACGAUCCGUAGCUGGUCUGAGAGGAUGAUCAGCCACACUGGAACUGAGACACGGUCCAGACUCCUACGGGAGGCAGCAGUGGGGAAUAUUGGACAAUGGGCGCAAGCCUGAUCCAGCCAUACCGCGUGGGUGAAGAAGGUCUUCGGGUUGUAAAGCCCUUUUGUUGGGAAAGAAAAGCAGCAGGUUAAUACCCCGCUGUUCUGACGGUACCCAAAGAAUAAGCACCGGCUAACUUCGUG